CUAUUUUGCUGACGAGUGGCGCACGGGUGCGUAACGCGUAUACAAUCUACCUUUUACAGGGGGAUAGCCUUUGGAAACGAAGAUUAAUACCCCAUAGUAAGUAAAUUUCGCAUGGAAAUUACUUUAAAAUUUCGGUGGUAAAAGAUGAGUAUGCGUCCUAUUAGCUAGAUGGUGUGGUAACGGCACACCAUGGCAACGAUAGGUAGGGGCCCUGAGAGGGGGAUCCCCCACACUGGUACUGAGACACGGACCAGACUCCUACGGGAGGCAGCAGUGAGGAAUAUUGGACAAUGGGCGAGAGCCUGAUCCAGCCAUGCCGCGUGCAGGAAGACUGCCCUAUGGGUUGUAAACUGCUUUUAUACGGGAAGAACCCCACCUACGUGUAGGUGGCUGACGGUACCGUAAGAAUAAGGAUCGGCUAACUCCGUGCCAGCAGCCGCGGUAAUACGGAGGAUCCAAGCGUUAUCCGGAAUCAUUGGGUUUAAAGGGUCCGUAGGUGGACAAUUAAGUCAGGGGUGAAAGUCUGCGGCUCAACCGUAGAAUUGCCUUUGAUACUGGUUGUCUUGAAUCAUUGUGAAGUGGUUGGAAUGAGUAGUGUAGCGGUGAAAUGCAUAGAUAUUACUCAGAACACCGAUUGCGAAGGCAGAUCACUAACAAUGUAUUGACACUGAUGGACGAAAGCGUGGGGAGCGAACAGGAUUAGAUACCCUGGUAGUCCACGCCGUAAACGAUGGUCACUAGCUGUUCGGAC
Molecule: ribosomal RNA, 751 nt
Filed under: Winogradskyella sp.
Lineage: Bacteria; Pseudomonadati; Bacteroidota; Flavobacteriia; Flavobacteriales; Flavobacteriaceae
Description: bacterial SSU rRNA
Rfam family: Bacterial small subunit ribosomal RNA
Source: RNAcentral